This 332-nucleotide ribosomal RNA is filed under the name uncultured Acidobacteriaceae bacterium. Its description in RNAcentral is "bacterial SSU rRNA". It matches the Rfam family "Bacterial small subunit ribosomal RNA", at positions 568 to 898 of the family's 1533-position model. The record is from RNAcentral. Lineage: Bacteria; Pseudomonadati; Acidobacteriota; Terriglobia; Terriglobales; Acidobacteriaceae.
UGCGUAGGCGGUUCGCUAAGUUGGAUGUGAAAACUAUGGGCUCAACCCAUAGCCUGCAUCCAAUACUGACGAACUAGAGUUCUGGAGGGGGUAGCGGAAUUCCUGGUGUAGCGGUGAAAUGCGUAGAUAUCAGGAGGAACACCGGUGGCGAAGGCGGCUACCUGGACAGAGUCUGACGCUGAGGCACGAAAGCUAGGGGAGCAAACAGGAUUAGAUACCCUGGUAGUCCUAGCCCUAAACGAUGGAUACUUGGUGUGACUGGGAUUGAAUCCAGUCGUGCCGAAGCUAACGCAUUAAGUAUCCCGCCUGGGGAGUACGGUCGCAAGGCUGAA